RNAcentral lists this ribosomal RNA (365 nucleotides) under uncultured eukaryote. RNAcentral's name for it is "partial 18S ribosomal RNA". It matches the Rfam family "Eukaryotic small subunit ribosomal RNA", at positions 592 to 976 of the family's 1831-position model. The record is from RNAcentral.
CAAUAGCGUAUAUUUAAGUUGUUGCAGUUAAAAAGCUCGUAGUCGGAUUUUGGCUGAGAACGAUCGGUCCGCCGUUAGGUGUGCACUGAUUGGUCUCAGCUUCCUGGUGAGGAGGUGUGCUUCACGGCCACUUAGUCACCGUGGUUACUUUGAAAAAAUUAGAGUGUUCAAAGCGGGCUUACGCUUGAAUAUAUUAGCAUGGAAUAACACCAUAGGACUCCUGUCCUAUUUCGUUGGUCUCGGGACGGGAGUAAUGAUUAAGAGGAACAGUUGGGGGCAUUCGUAUUUCAUUGUCAGAGGUGAAAUUCUUGGAUUUAUGAAAGACGAACUUCUGCGAAAGCAUUUGCCAGGGAUGUUUUCAUUGA